UACGUAGGGUGCAAGCGUUAAUCGGAAUUACUGGGCGUAAAGGGCGCGUAGGCGGCCUGCUCAGUCGGACGUGAAAGCCCCAGGCUUAACCUGGGAACUGCGUCCGAUACUGGCAGGCUUGGAUUCGGGAGAGGGAUGUGGAAUUCCAGGUGUAGCGGUGAAAUGCGUAGAUAUCUGGAGGAACACCGGUGGCGAAGGCGGCAUCCUGGACCGAGAUCGACGCUGAGGCGCGAAAGCUAGGGGAGCAAACGGG
Molecule: ribosomal RNA, 253 nt
Filed under: uncultured bacterium
Lineage: Bacteria
Description: partial 16S ribosomal RNA
Rfam family: Bacterial small subunit ribosomal RNA
Source: RNAcentral